AGGGUGUCAGCUAAUUUAAGUAUCUUAUUAUGUCACAUGAGAAAUGAUAUCAAGUCCAAUCUAAUAUUAGACAUAAUAAGAGCUUAGUAGAAAAGAGUUAAUACAAUCAAAUGAGCUUUGUAAUACUCUAGUCUAGUACCACAUCAAUAGAACAUAAAUAUUUGAAUUAACUUACAAGAGUUUGAUGAAAACAUUAUUGCCAGUAACUCUAGUCCUUACAUGCAUAGAUUAAUUCUAAUCAAUGUUAGACACCGACAAGGAUGACAAACCCCUAAAUGUAAGAAAUUGUAAUACCUCAAUUUAAUCCCACAUCAAAAGUCGAUGAAGAAUUAAAUGAAGUUAAUAUCCCUAUUUUAGUUUCAUAUUCAUAGUUGAUAAAUUAAAUCUUGAUUAGCAUGCUUUUAUAACGAUUCACUUGAGAACAGCCAUGUUAUUUUUAAUAAAUUUAUUGGUUUCAUUAGUCAGCCAAUUUUACAAUCAGAUCAGGAGGGGAUAAUAUGAUCAUAUGCAACUUUUGCAGACUAUACAUCAUCUUACUUAUGCUAUUUCUGAAAAGAAUUGCAAUAAUUAUCCUAAUAUAUAAUUUUGGGCUCAUUGAGGAUACGCCAACAAACAAAUUUAUGACUAUAACGAGGGGAGAAAGCAAAUUAAAAGUCAAAACAGAAACAUACAACAGUAACAGACGACCCUGAGAAAGACCCAGAAGUCAUGUGGCGACAAACAAUAUGCUAAGAAAGAAGCUGAGGACAUGAAAGCAAGAAUCUACCG
This 768-nucleotide long non-coding RNA is filed under the name Musa acuminata (dwarf banana). Its description in RNAcentral is "long non-coding RNA (MACU_LNC001190)". The record is from RNAcentral. Lineage: Eukaryota; Viridiplantae; Streptophyta; Magnoliopsida; Zingiberales; Musaceae.